UGCCUACGGGUGGCUGCAGGCGCGAAAACUUUACAAUGCGGGAAACCGUGAUAAGGGAACUCCGAGUGCCCGUAAACGCGGGCUGUCCAUCUGCUUAAAAAACAGGUGAAGAAAGGGCCGGGCAAGACCGGUGCCAGCCGCCGCGGUAAUACCGGCGGCUCGAGUGGUGGCCACUAUUACUGGGCUUAAAGCGUCCGUAGCUUGGUUGUUAAGUCUCUUGGGAAAUCUGUCGGCUUAACCGACAGGCGUUUAAGGGAUACUGGCAAUCUAGGGACCGGGAGAGGUGAGAGGUACUCCAGGGGUAGGAGUGAAAUCCUGUAAUCCUUGGGGGACCACCUGUGGCGUAGGCGUCUCACCAGAACGGCUCCGACAGUGAGGGACGAAAGCUGGGGGAGCAAACCGGAUUAGAUACCCUGGUAGUCGC
RNAcentral lists this ribosomal RNA (424 nucleotides) under uncultured Methanoregulaceae archaeon. Its description in RNAcentral is "bacterial SSU rRNA". It matches the Rfam family "Archaeal small subunit ribosomal RNA", at positions 319 to 748 of the family's 1478-position model. The record is from RNAcentral. Lineage: Archaea; Methanobacteriati; Methanobacteriota; Methanomicrobia; Methanomicrobiales; Methanoregulaceae.